AAACUGCUGGCUUAGCCGUUGGCCGAGUUGGCGGCUGGACGAGGACGCUCAGAGCCCAGCUCUCGAGAGUUCAAGCAACCGACGGUUCCCCACUGCUCCCAGGAGCGGUUACCUGGGCACUCUGUGCCCCUCCUUCCUGUUCGGGCCCAGGCCGAGGACCUGCCAGUAGGGCUCAGUUGCCUGGAGCCCGUUCAGCCCAUCCCCCAGUUCACUUUGCUUGUGGGAUCUCCCCGUUGCUCCUGCCCGUGGACUGAGUGGCAGGCCAUCCUACAAGCACCCGGACACUUGACAUCAGUGGUGUCAAGACAACUCUAAGAAGGUUUUCCGUGAUCCUGCAAGCCCUGCCUUCCUUCCUGGGAUCCUGCCUUCAAUUUGAUUGCACAGGUACCACAGCAAGCCAGUGCUGCGUGCUCCGAGUUCCAGGGCGUCCUCCAGCUCAGCCACUGCACUGAGAACAUGGACUCUCUGUGGGGCCCAGGAGCCGGGAGUCACCCCUUUGGGGUCCACAACAGCCGGCUGUCCCCAGACUUGUGUCCAGGGAAGAUAGUGUUGAGGGCCCUCAAGGAGAGCGGGGCAGGGAUGCCUGAGCAGGACAAGGACCCUAGAGUCCAAGAGAAUCCUGGUGAUCAGAGAAGGGUCCCCGAGGUCACCGGGGAUGCACCGUCUGCAUUUCGGCCCCUGCGGGACAAUAGAGGCCUCUCUCCCUUUGUGCCCGGGCCCGGGCCUCUGCAGACAGACCUCCAUGCCCAGAGGUCAGAAAUCAGAUAUAACCAGACAUCCCAGACCUCCUGGACGAGCUCCUGCACCAACCGAAAUGCCAUCUCCAGCUCCUACAGCUCCACGGGAGGCUUGCCGGGGCUAAAGCGGAGGAGGGGGCCAGCCUCAUCCCACUGCCAGCUGACCCUCAGUUCCUCAAAGACAGUGAGUGAGGACAGGCCUCAGGCUGUCUCUUCAGGUCACACCCAGUGUGAAAAGGCAGCAGAUAUAGCACCAGGGUAGACACUCGCCCUCAGGAAUGACUCCUCCACAUCCGAGGCCUCUAGGCCCAGUACACACAAGUUUCCCCUGCUGCCACGCAGGCGAGGGGAGCCUUUGAUGCUGCCACCUCCCUUAGAGCUGGGGUACCGGGUCACUGUUGAAGACCUGGACCGGGAGAAGGAGGCGGCAUUCCAGCGCAUCAACAGUGCACUGCAGGUUGAGGACAAGGCCAUCUCGGACUGCAGACCCUCACGGCCUUCCCACACUUUGUCCUCACUUGCAACAGGGGCUUCUGGUCUGCCUGCCGUUUCUAAAGCACCCAGUAUGGAUGCACAGCAGGAGACACACAAGUCCCAAGACUGCCUGGGCCUACUGGCCCCCUUAGCAUCUGCUGCAGGGGUCCCCUCUACAGCUCCCAUGUCUGGGAAGAAGCACAGACCACCAGGCCCCCUGUUCUCCUCCUCAGAUCCCCUUCCUGCCACCUCUUCCCAUUCCCAGGACUCAGCCCAGGUCACCUCGCUGAUUCCUGCCCCCUUCCCAGCUGCAAGCAUGGAUGCGGGCAUGAGAAGAACAAGGUGUGGCACUUCUGCUCCUGCAGCUGCCGCAGCAGCCCCUCCCCCCUCCACAUUGAACCCCACGUUGGGGUCACUACUGGAGUGGAUGGAGGCCCUUCACAUUUCUGGGCCUCAGCCACAGCUGCAGCAGGUGCCCAGAGGUCAGAACCAGAGAUCCCAGACCUCCCGGACCAGCUCGUGCCCCAAACGAAAUGCCAUCUCGAGCCCCUACCGCUCUACGGGAGGCCUCCCGGAACGAAAGCGGAGAAGGGGGCCAGCCUCAUCCCACUGCCAGCUGACCCUCAGUUCCUGAAACACAUAGGACCCAGGGUGCGUGCCCAUCUCCAGCCCAGGGCAGCUCCCCUGUAAGCUGGGUGAGCUACUGAAGCCAAGGCGGGAGGCAGCUGACAACACCCACAGCCCAUGCGGAGGUGGUGGAAAGGCUGGACUCAGCAGCAACACCAAAUCCUGGACCAGGCAGAAACCACCCAAGACUGAGGGGCUCAUGCCAGAGCGGUGGCCACAGGGCUGAAUGGUCGCUGAGACAGAGAUGGAAGCCAGGACAAGGGAGCCCACCGGGCCCAGAUAGAGACUUCAGAACCCACUCCUGAGAACAGCGGAGCCAGGCGCUUAGAGGAAGACCAAAUGCUGCCAGGACACGGAUUGUCCAGGGAUUACAUUCCAGCAUCUUAUUAGAUGGCCUGAUUAGCCAGAGGUUUCCAGGCCGUCUGUCCGCCUCCAGGAGAUGGACUGGGACCUUUAGACAUCGGUGGAGAACAGGAUGCUCUGUCCCUUGCUGUCCAGGGCAGGGAUGGCCUCCAGCCGCAAGAAGUACAGCAGCACCUCGACCUGCCCUCGCGGAGUGGGGAAGAGGAGAGUGGCUCGGAAGGGGGCGCACAGCUGCUGGUGGGAGGUCUUUGGGGCCCAAGAUCCCAAGUCCACCUCAGGUGCUAGAAACCCCUGCUGGUGUCAUGAACCCCUUACAGUGAGACGGGGGUGGGGUGGGGUCCUGACAAGGCAUGACUUGUUGGGUGGGGGGUGGUUAUUUAUUUUAGAGAUGCACAGGGCCUUGCUCUGUCCCCCAGGCUGGAGUACAGUGGCUCCAUCAUGGAUCACUGCAGCCUCUAACUCCUGGGCUCAAGCAAUCCUCCUGUGUCAGCCUCCCAGAUACCUAGGAUUACAGAUAUGUGCCCCAAUGCCUGCCUAAUUUUUCUUUGUAUUUUUUCUGGAGAUGGGGUUUGCUACAUUGCCCAGACUGGUCUCAAACACCUGGGUUCAGUUGUCCUGCCUCGGCCUCCCAAAGUGCUGGGAUUACAGGCAUGAGCCACCACACUCGAACACUUGGGGUGGUUUUAAGCCCCCAGCAAGGUGCACCAGCAGGACCAGGAGGUGGCCUAGGCACCCCCUAUCACUCCCAUCCAUGCAAACCUAGGCAAGUCCCUGUCUCUGAAUCUCAGCCACCACCACAUACAAUGCAAGUCGGAAGAUGGGCAGGACUGGGGGUGGGGCAGGCAGAGGCCACCUCUGUCAGGCUGGGGUUGCAUGGGCUGGAGGCUGUCUUCCCAUACCUGGGACAUGACCUCCAAGGACCAGCUGUCAGUCAUGGUGAUGGGCUGGCUGGGGUUGGCAGGGAGCUUGCUCUCCUUCUCGGAGGGCCGGAGCAGCGUGGGGCCAAACACCGUGCCAAGGUUGUGCAGGGACAUCUUAUUGACUGCCUCCUUCUCUGCCAUCCUGUAGAGGACCGAAGCAGAGGGUGCUGUUUCAACGCCACCACCAGGAGAGAGGCAGAGGGGCUGUGCCGUGCUAGAGUCCUCAGGGAGGGAGUGACCUCGACCCUGGCUGUGCUGCAAGCUGACUCCAGCCUUGGGGUCAGCAGCACCCGGCGAACAGCAGCAGGAGGAGCCGCUAGAGCAGCUGCUCAUGGGCAGAGCUGCCCUCGGGCAACUCCUGCCACCACCCCCUCCCCAGGGAGCCCAAGGCAGGGGAGGCUCAGCAUGGAAUGAAACAGGGGAGUGAGGGACACAAGGAGGUGGGAAGUGGGAGGGUCCCAGCCCCACCAAGUACGCAGAGACCCCCUCGACAUCCUGGACACCACAGGGGCACCUGCAGGCUGGGAGACCAGGUCCUCUGUGCAUGGGCCCGGGAGGCAGACCUGCCCUAAGGGUGAUGCACAGGCUACAGGUGCUGCACGCUCCAGCGCCCACUCUAGACAUCAGCCUCCAGGUUGACUAAGGGUCAGGUCAUGUUUGAAACCAUGCUUGGCUGGACCAGGACCCAUGGCAAGAGCACCUGGGCACCAGUGUUUAGCCCUGGUCUGCAGGAAGGAGGACAGCAGACUUUAGGACCCCACAGCACGGCAGUGCUGACCAUUUCACCCACUUGGCCUCCUUGAGAAAUAUGGAUGGGGAGCCCUCUGGGGAUGGGCAAGGCCUUCCAGGAUAGGCUCAGUUUUGGUCCCCUGCUUUUUGAGGUUGGGUUAAAAUUCCGACCAUGGCAGAGGAAGCACAGCUCGGGUUCCCACACCUCACUUUUCACAGCCUCUGAGGGCAGCAGUGCACGUGGAGGAGACGUCUCCCAUGAGGCCAAGGCCUCCAGUGCUCACCGAUGCCCUCUGCGAAGUUGGGGUAGAACUCGUCAGUGAAGAGGGGCUCGGGCAGCUCACGGAAGUACAGCUUCAGCAUGCCUGCGAUGGCGUUCACGUCCAUCUCGCUCAUCAUCACUGACACGUCCUUGUUAUCUGGAAAGAGCACGGAAAUGCAGCGGCCUCCUUGAAGAUCCUGAUAAAUGAAGAAAAGACACAGAGAAGGAUGUGACAUGCCUGGGCCAUGGAGCACUCUGAGAUCUCAUCGGGGACACCACUGCCCACACCUCCAUCCCGUCCUGCGCAGGCCGACACUCACUGACGUUGAAGCCUGCCUUCAGUGCCUGGAUGUCUGCGGCCACCCCAGACAUGCGGUAGAUGCCCACCUCCUCCAUGCCUCGGCGCUCGAUCUCCUCCAUGCACUGGCGCACGAUGUAGGGCACCUUGGACCUCUCUCUCCUGCGGGAGGAGGGAAUGUUCUCAGUGUCCUAACAGCCCUGCUUGGGCCAUAACACAGGAGACCUGCUCCCUAUCUGCGCACCCGGAGGUGGGGUGAGGACGGUGACGAAGGUACCCAGGUCUGGGGCUGCACACAGAGCCUUCUGCAUGCCUGUCCUCCCUCUGCAAGCUCUGUCCUCAUUGCAUGUACUUUCUCAGGAACCUUUCAAGCGGCCAGAACCCCUGCGAAUCACACAUGACCUUUGCGGGAAGGUCAGGAGGCCUGUCUAAGUCAAGUCAGCACGGGAAGGGCAUCUGACAGAUUCCAGGCCUGGGGUUAGCAGCCUGUGCCCCCGGCUGGGAGGUCAGACCCGGUGUUGGUCCUGCCACCCACGUGCUGUGUGAGAGGAGAAACCCUGACCCCUGCCCUGGGCCUUAACACACAUCCGACGAAUGAAUGAAGGGUUGCCUCAGCACCGGUGCUCCAAGUCCUGCGAUGCUAAGUGCUUUUCUCCUCUGAGUCUUAGCAAUGGACAAUUCCAAUACCUCCACACAGGACACUAGAGUAAGAAUCCUUCACAGUUAGAACGCAGUGCUGUGCGGAGGCCUUAACUUGAGUUCUGUUUUGCACCUGGAUUUACCAGCACAUCAAAGCUGCUUCGCAAGCCCCCUCAUCAGCAGGGCUUAUGUGGGGGAGCUGCUGAUGGAGUCCUCGCUGCUCAUGCCCACAGCCCUCCCAGAGUGCUAUGCGAGUGGCUGCCGUGCAGUUGGGGGUGGGGCGUGUGUUUAGACACAGAUAGGAGUCCAGGGUAUGACUGAUGGAGGCCCCGGCCCACGUGACCAGCAAGGUCAGAGGCCCAGCCAGAUUCCAUCCUGGGGAAGCAAAUGAAUUCUCAGAGGAAGUGGUCUGUGUCUGCAUGAACUGCUCUCAAACCAACAAAUAGGCUUCUCUUGGCAACUGACUCGUGACAAAGGGUUCAAGAUUGUUUGAAAAAAAAAAAAGGGGGGGGGGAACAGGGAGGCAGUAGGUCCUGGAAAAGUAAAUUCUUUAUUUUACAAUAAGAAAGUGAUUACAUAUUUUAUUUUUUUUACAAUGGUGGAAAAUUAGAAGUGAUUGUGAAAAUGAUGUCUACCCGCCUUGCUGAUGAGUAGGAUGUGAUUUGGCUCUUUAGGAAACUGAAUUUGCAGAACUUAAGAAUAUUGAUUUAUAAAGGGCAUGGCCAUUGACCCAGUCCAUCUUAUGCAAAUCUGGAUGCCAUAAAUAAUAUUUAAAAAUGAAAGUAUUGGGGUGGAGGUUGCAGUGAGCGGAGAUCGCCCCACUACACUCCAGCCUGGUCAACAGAGUGAGACUCUGUCUCAAAACAAAAAAAAAAAAAAAAAGAAGAAGAAGUCAUUCCCAACAUUGCUCAUCAAAUUAUGACCAUAAAUUUCCAGGAUCAGACUAACGGCUAAAGAGACUGAUGCAUCAACACCAGGCAGAGAAUAAAGCAGAUUUUUUUUGUUUUGUUUUGGAGAGCCUCUAGGAACUUGAAAAAUACAUAUGGCACACUCUUAAGACCCGGUGGUUCUUAAUCAGGGAUGUUCAUUAAAAUGCUGGAAAACUGUAAAGACUUCCAGGUCCCAUCCAAGGAGAUUUUGCUUCUGAUUGACUGGCUAGUGGCCUGGCCAUUGGUAUUUUGAAAAAUCCCUCCAAGUGAUUCUUUUACAUCCCAGCUAGAAAACCCUAAAUUAAAGGUGAAAAACCAGACACCAAGUGGCAUUUAAAUAAAUGUCAACUUUAACUCCACAAAGCAUCUGGUUGCACGUGGACAGAAAGAGAAGGAAAGAGGGCCCUAUAUCUGGAUAACUUGGAAAUGUGCUCCCCCUAGCAAGAUAUCUACCAAAAUUAAAACCAUAUUUGAGGAUGCUGGCACUGCGAGCAAUAUAUAAAUGAUGCAUGUAACAUCAUUUAAUAUGAUCUUAUUUUUAAAAAUGAGUAGAGUGGUGUUUUCUAGCUGUUAGUGUUUCCAAAUAUCAAUGUAGAAAUUAGCCUUCUGCAGCUGCAGAGGCAAUUCAGUUUGCAGCUUGCUUGCAUGUGGCCUAGAGCCACCCAGCCUGAUAUGUACUAAUUUUUUGUUUAACUUGCCAGAGUAGAAACUCAGUUUCUGGGCCAGGCAUAGUGGCUCAUGCCUGUAAUCCCAGAACUUUGGGAGGCCAAGGCAAGCAGAUCACAAGGUCGGGAGUUCAAGACCAGCCUGGCUGACAUAGUGAAACCCUAUCUUUGCUAAAAAUACAAAAAUUAGCCCGGCAUGCUGGCAGGCACCUGUAGUCCCAGCUACUUGGGAGGCUGAGGCAGGAGAAUCACUUGAACCUGGGAGGCAGAGGUUGUGGUGAACUGAGAUCAUGCCCCUGCACUCCAGCCUGGGCAACAGAGUGAGACUCCAUCUCAAAAAAAAAAAAAAAAAGAAACUCAGUUUCUGGUUACAUCUGAUCUUUAUUUUUUAUAUAUCAUCUAAGCUAUAAAGUUAUAUUCCCUAUUUGUGAUCUUAAAAGAAGGACUCCAGGAAAGUGUUCAAAUAUUCAUAUAUCUAAACUGGAACAUAUGUUUAUAUUUUUAAAAGUAGCCUGAGAGGUUGGCAACUAAAGUCAUAUGUUGAAUGAUCAUUUCUCAAGAGUUUCAUUUUAUGGUCUUUCUCUUGUUCUGUAAAAUGUGGGCAUGGAUAGAUAUAAAGUGCCUGGUGUCCAUGCUUUUGUGAAAUCCCUUCCUCUUCCAUGUGAAUGGGACCUGUGACUUUCUUCUAACCCAGAGAACACAGCAAAAAUGAUGUGAUUUAUCUGAGUCCAUUGAUGACAUUGAUUACGACUUCCCUUCACCACAUUAUUUAGGACUGCGUCGUAGGAGACUGGGACACAUAUCCACUUUGCUGGCUUGAUGAAGUAAACUGCUAAGUUGAGGAAGCCCACAUGGCAAGGAACUGUGGGCAGCCUUCAGCCAACAGGCAGCAAAAAGCUGAGCUCCUCGGAGCUACAGCCUCAAGGAAGUUACUUCUGCUAACAACCUGAAAAAGCUUGGAAGCUAGUUUCUCUCUAGUGGAAUUUUUAGGGAAGAGCAUGGCCCAGGCAAGAUAAAUAAUGUAAGUGGAAAAACCUGUCAACAAUAAAGGUUUUAAAGGAAAAAACAA
This 7712-nucleotide long non-coding RNA is filed under the name Homo sapiens (human). RNAcentral describes it as "non-protein coding lnc-RIMBP3B-6:1". Lineage: Eukaryota; Metazoa; Chordata; Mammalia; Primates; Hominidae. The record is from RNAcentral.